RNAcentral lists this long non-coding RNA (917 nucleotides) under Octopus sinensis (East Asian common octopus). Its description in RNAcentral is "uncharacterized LOC118761677, transcript variant X2". The record is from RNAcentral. Lineage: Eukaryota; Metazoa; Mollusca; Cephalopoda; Octopoda; Octopodidae.
UAGCUAAACAUUACCUAAGGUGAUUGCAACAUGUAGAAGCGAGAGACAGUAGCACUAACAUCUCUGCUUUGAUACCGGGUGGCUGCUACUGGAGGCGUUAUCUGUUGUAGGUGUUGCAGAUAAAGUAGGAAAUCGAGAGAAUAAAAAUAGAAAAGAAGAACAAGGAAAGAUAGAGAUGAUACCGGAGGUCUUACUGUCUCCAAGACUGUAAUGUCCUCCUGCCAACGUCCUUCAGGUGUUUUUGAGAAUUUUAAGACGAAGAGAAUAUGCUGUUUCCGUGAACACCGUGUCUGCUGAAAAAAAAAAAAGAGAAAAAAUGGAAGAGUUUAACCUGCCACCGCUUCAUCGACCAGAAUGCUCACAACACAGUCGAUUCCGCAAAAGCAUUUACGAGUCAAUGGUAACAGAAAUCCGGACAAUGUUUUUAUUGUCUUACACGCCCACCAUUUCUUUCGUUGCUUUUUUCUUUAAUUGCUUAAUUUAUUCGGGAAGAGGCAUGGUCUAGAGUUUAGUGUGUUGCAUUCACGAUUACAAAAUCGCAGUUUCGAUCCCCAGAAUGGCUGUGCCUGGAGUUUCGCCUAUUUUUUCUUCUCUUUGUUGCAUUUCCUGUUUAUGUUCUUCAUUUCUCGUUGCUGCAGUUCACCUUGCGACGGACGGGCGUUCUUUCAGAAAAUAUUCUGCCGGCCGUCCUAGCCACAAGGCAUCAUUCGAAAGCUAGUACAAUACCAAGAAGUGCAAAGUGACAAGUAGUGUAUAACAGCAUCUGAAAUCUGGUCAAUACGCUCAUUUAACUUUACCUUAAUUGUUCUCAUCAGCUGUGCCACAAACACGUUUUUGCUAAAUACCUAGCAACACAUUUUGGGCGGAAGUAAUUUGUGGCGUUUGAGGAAUCUGUGCAUUUUGCACUUAUCUUUGUA